UAGAGCCUUAUGGUUGGCGAAUGCAUCCAUGUGCUGAGAGUGUGGCACAUCCUAACUCCAUGGGAGAAGCUCCUGGGCUCAGGGCCCUUCUGGACCUUGUCCUAUCUACCGCUUCAUUGGUCUGCCCUUUGUGUCGCUGUCCAUUCUACUCCAUGAUUUGAGGUACCACCAAGGUUUGUUUCCGCUUCUCCUACCAUCUCCACAUUGGUUUCAGAACUCUGGCAAUUCCCCUCAUCAUUUUAGUCCAUGCGUUUGCAGGGAAUUUUUCCAAAAUAAGUUACAAUGUUUAUAAAUAGUUAUCUGAAGAGCUGGUAGAAAGGAAUAACAUUGAGGCUAACUUGUCACUGGUUACCAGAUGUGAUUACUCUCAGAUCAGAGUUACAUUGCCAAUUUUAUUAGGUCACUUCAGUGUACAUUUCUGUCUUAUAAAGCCUUCUUCCCUGACUAGCUCACAGCCCACAACCCAAUCACAGUAUUCAGCUUUCCCAGCACCAUUAUACAUGCCCGCGAGUGUACAUAGACACUUUAACCUAUCAUCCUUGCUCAAUGAACAAAGCAUUUGUUGCUAAGCCACAGUCUAAGGCUCAUCUUUCGAGUCUUUAUUUCUAUCCCAAGAUCUGCCUCUCUCCAAGUCUGGCAAACCUGGGUAUUUUCCACUGUCUCCAAAGGAAAUCUGCCCAGUUAAUAAUGGAAUUUUACCCUAUGGUACCAACAGGAUAAUUACUUUAUAAUAUAAUAAUCCAAUACCUGUAAAGCAGAUAAAGAUAUAGCUACAACAUCAGAGCUAUUUGUUUUACACCAGAGCUUACAAAUUGCGGAGACAUACAACUCCUUUUAAUAUUUCUCAAAGUUUAAGUAAUUUAGUAGUAAGUAACAUCUUGUGCAGAGAAACAACAGUUCGGUAAUGUUGAGUUUCUCUAAGCCUAGUCCAGCCACACUUUUAAAAAUAUCUAUUUAUAAUUACAGUUUCUGCCUUAUAUUUUCAAAAAACUAAUUCAUUCAUUUGGCUGGAUUAUUAUCAGGUAUAACUGACCUAAAACAAACUGCAUGUGUUUAAAAUGUAUAUUUUGAUAAUUUCUGACAUAUGUGUACACCCAUAAACCAUCAACAUAAUUAAGAUAAUUAAUAUAGCCAUUAACCCAAAAAGUUUCCUUACGCUGUUCCAGUCUCUCCCUCCCAUUCCUCCCCAUUUUCUGGCCUGCCUCCCCAGGCAACCACUAUUCUGCUUUCUGUCAGUGUAAAUUAGCCUAUACUUUCUAAAAUCUCGUAUAAAUGGAAUCAUACUAUAUGCACUCUAUUUUAUCUGACUUCUUUCACUCAGUGUAAUAAUUUUGAGAUUAAUCCAUGUUGUUCCAUGUUGCAAUAGUUCAUUACUUUUGUAUUGCUGCAUAAUUAUUUCAAAAUUCAAUUGUCUAUUGAUUCGUUGAUGGGCGUAUGGGUUGUUUUUAGUUAUGUCUAUUACAAAUAAAGGACUACGAACAUUUGAGUAAAAGUAUCAUAUAAACAUUAGCUUUUCUUUCUCUAGGAUAAAUAUCUAUGAGCAAAAUGGCGACGUCAUAUGCUUUAUAUAUAUUAAUAUUUAAUUUUUUAAAACUGCCAAACAUUUCUCUAAAGUCGUUGCAUAAUUUUACCUGACCAGCAAUGCAUGAGAGUUCCAGCUGCCCCACAUUCUCACCAACUCUUGGUAUUGUUUUUUAUUUUGUUUUGCUUUGUUUUUAGUUUUAGCCAAACUAAUAUAUGUAUACUGGUAUCUCAUUGGAGUUUUAAUUUUUAUUUUCCUAAUGACUAAUAACGUUGAGCAUUUUUCUAUAUUCUUAAUUGCCAU
Molecule: long non-coding RNA, 1825 nt
Filed under: Homo sapiens (human)
Lineage: Eukaryota; Metazoa; Chordata; Mammalia; Primates; Hominidae
Description: HSALNT0242584
Source: RNAcentral